AGGACGAACGCUGGCGGCGUGCUUAACACAUGCAAGUCGAGCGGAAAGGCCCUUCGGGGUACUCGAGCGGCGAACGGGUGAGUAACACGUGAGUAAUCUGCCCAUCGCUUCAGGAUAGCCAUCGGAAACGGUGAUUAAUACUGGAUAUGACAUUCCUUCGCAUGUUGGGGUGUGGAAAGUUUUUUCGGCGUGGAUGUGCUCGCGGCCUAUCAGCUUGUUGGUGGGGUAAGUAGGCCGUACCAAGGACUUUGUACGGGUAGGCCGGCCUGAGAGGGUGGACCGGCCGACACUGGGACGUGAGACACGGCCCACGACGUCCUACGGGAAGGCAGCCAGUGGGAAGUAUUGGACAAA
This 354-nucleotide ribosomal RNA is filed under the name uncultured soil bacterium. Its description in RNAcentral is "bacterial SSU rRNA". It matches the Rfam family "Bacterial small subunit ribosomal RNA", at positions 26 to 372 of the family's 1533-position model. The record is from RNAcentral.